This 23-nucleotide non-coding RNA is filed under the name Gallus gallus (chicken). The record is from miRBase by way of RNAcentral. Lineage: Eukaryota; Metazoa; Chordata; Aves; Galliformes; Phasianidae.
ACAGCUGUAAGCAGAAGGCACCC